AGCUGUUCCCCUCUGGAGGUUUUUUGACCUUCACACCUUAAGGGCCCCGAGCUUUCGGCGGCCCUUUUUUUUGCUUAAA
Molecule: small RNA, 79 nt
Filed under: Rhizobium azibense
Lineage: Bacteria; Pseudomonadati; Pseudomonadota; Alphaproteobacteria; Hyphomicrobiales; Rhizobiaceae
Description: suhB
Rfam family: Alphaproteobacterial ar15 (bases 1-70)
Source: RNAcentral